GACUAACGCUGGCGGCGUGCCUAAUACAUGCAAGUCGAACGGGAUUCUUUGAUCAGCUUGCUGAGAGAAGGAUCUAGUGGCGGACGGGUGAGUAACGCGUGGGAAUCUGCCUCUUACUGGGGGAUAACAGUGGGAAACUACUGCUAAUACCGCAUAAGAUCUUCGGAUGAAAGGUGCAACUGCACCGGUAAGAGAUGAGCCCGCGUCCCAUUAGCUAGUUGGUGAGGUAAAGGCUCACCAAGGCGACGAUGGGUAGCCGGCCUGAGAGGGUGAACGGCCACACUGGGACUGAGACACGGCCCAGACUCCUACGGGAGGCAGCAGUAGGGAAUCUUCCGCAAUGGGCGCAAGCCUGACGGAGCGACGCCGCGUGAGUGAUGAAGGCCUUCGGGUCGUAAAGCUCUGUUCUUGAGGACGAAUAAGCCAGGGAGUGGAAAGCCCUGGUGAUGACUGUACUCAAGGGAAAGCUCCGGCUAACUACGUGCC
RNAcentral lists this ribosomal RNA (486 nucleotides) under uncultured bacterium. RNAcentral describes it as "bacterial SSU rRNA". It matches the Rfam family "Bacterial small subunit ribosomal RNA", at positions 28 to 509 of the family's 1533-position model. The record is from RNAcentral.